AUAUUCCUGUACCACCAUGAUUCGUUUUAAGCGAUGGGGGGACGCAGUAGGAUAGGCGAAGCGUGCUGUUGGAGUGCACGUCUAAGCAGUAAGACUGAGUGUUAGGCAAAUCCGGCACUCAUUAAGGUCAAGCUGUGAUGGGGAGAAGAAACAUGUUUUCUUCGAGUCGUUGAUUUCACACUGCCAAGAAAAGCCUCUAGCUAGAAGAUUGGUGCCCGUACCGCAAACCGACACAGGUAGUCAAGAUGAGAAUUCUAAGGUGAGCGAGCGAACUCUCGUUAAGGAACUCGGCAAAAUGACCCCGUAACUUCGGGAGAAGGGGUGCUCUUUGAGGUUCACGCUUCGAAGAGCCGCAGUGAAUAGGCCCAAGCGACUGUUUAUCAAAAACACAGGUCUCUGCUAAACCGUAAGGUGACGUAUAGGGGCUGACGCCUGCCCGGUGCUGGAAGGUUAAGAGGAGUGGUUAGCAUUAGCGAAGCUACGAAUCGAAGCCCCAGUAAACGGCGGCCGUAACUAUAACGGUCCUAAGGUAGCGAAAUUCCUUGUCGGGUAAGUUCCGACCCGCACGAAAGGCGUAACGAUUUGGGCACUGUCUCAACGAGAGACUCGGUGAAAUCAUAGUACCGGUGAAGAUGCCGGUUACCCGCGACAGGACGGAAAGACCCCGUGGAGCUUUACUGUAGCCUGAUAUUGAAAUUCGGUACAGUUUGUACAGGAUAGGUAGGAGCCUUAGAAGCGUGAGCGCUAGCUUACGUGGAGGCAUUGGUGGGAUACUACCCUAAUUGUAUUGGAUUUCUAACCCGCAACUCUUAUCGAGUUGGGAGACAGUGUCAGGCGGGCAGUUUGACUGGGGCGGUCGCCUCCUAAAGAGUAACGGAGGCGCUCAAAGGUUCCCUCAGAAUGGUUGGAAAUCAUUCAUAGAGUGUAAAGGCAUAAGGGAGCUUGACUGCGAGACCUACAAGUCGAGCAGGGUCGAAAGACGGACUUAGUGAUCCGGUGGUUCCGCAUGGAAGGGCCAUCGCUCAACGGAUAAAAGCUACCCCGGGGAUAACAGGCUUAUCUCCCCCAAGAGUUCACAUCGACGGGGAGGUUUGGCACCUCGAUGUCGGCUCAUCGCAUCCUGGGGCUGUAGUCGGUCCCAAGGGUUGGGCUGUUCGCCCAUUAAAGCGGUACGCGAGCUGGGUUCAGAACGUCGUGAGACAGUUCGGUCCCUAUCCGUCGUGGGCGUAGGAAAUUUGAGAGGAGCUGUCCUUAGUACGAGAGGACCGGGAUGGACAUACCUCUGGUGUACCAGUUGUCGUGCCAACGGCAUAGCUGGGUAGCUAUGUAUGGACGGGAUAAGUGCUGAAAGCAUCUAAGCAUGAAGCCCCCCUCAAGAUGAGAUUUCCCAACUUCGGUUAUAAGAUCCCUCAAAGAUGAUGAGGUUAAUAGGUUCGAGGUGGAAGCGUAGCGAUACGUGGAGCUGACGAAUACUAAUCGAUCGAAGACUUAAUCAAUUU
This 1499-nucleotide ribosomal RNA is filed under the name Staphylococcus agnetis. RNAcentral describes it as "partial 23S ribosomal RNA". It matches the Rfam family "Bacterial large subunit ribosomal RNA", at positions 1433 to 2925 of the family's 2925-position model. The record is from RNAcentral. Lineage: Bacteria; Bacillati; Bacillota; Bacilli; Caryophanales; Staphylococcaceae.